UACGUAGGGAGCGAGCGUUGUCCGGAAUCAUUGGGCGUAAAGAGCAUGUAGGUGGAACAAUUAGUCUGCUGUGAAAGUCAAAGGCUCAACCUUUGAAAGCCGGUGGAUACUGUUGAUCUAGAGUACGGAAGAGGCGAGUGGAAUUCCUGGUGUAGCGGUGGAAUGCGCAGAUAUCAGGAGGAACACCAAUAGCGAAGGCAGCUCGCUGGGACGUUACUGACACUGAGACGCGAAAGCGUGGGGAGCAAACAGG
RNAcentral lists this ribosomal RNA (253 nucleotides) under uncultured bacterium. Its description in RNAcentral is "partial 16S ribosomal RNA". It matches the Rfam family "Bacterial small subunit ribosomal RNA", at positions 524 to 776 of the family's 1533-position model. The record is from RNAcentral.